Molecule: ribosomal RNA, 492 nt
Filed under: uncultured bacterium
Lineage: Bacteria
Description: partial 16S ribosomal RNA
Rfam family: Bacterial small subunit ribosomal RNA
Source: RNAcentral
AGUGAACGCUGGCGGUAGGCCUAACACACGCAAGUCGAACGGCAGCACAGUAAGAGCUUGCUCUUACGGGUGGCGAGUGGCGGACGGGUGAGGAAUACAUCGGAAUCUACUUUUUCGUGGGGGAUAACGUAGGGAAACUUACGCUAAUACCGCAUACGACCUACGGGUGAAAGCAGGGGAUCUUCGGACCUUGCGCGAUUGAAUGAGCCGAUGUCGGAUUAGCUAGUUGGCGGGGUAAAGGCCCACCAAGGCGACGAUCCGUAGCUGGUCUGAGAGGAUGAUCAGCCACACUGGAACUGAGGCACGGUCCAGACUCCUACGGGAGGCAGCAGUGGGGAAUAUUGGACAAUGGGCGCAAGCCUGAUCCAGCCAUACCGCGUGGGUGAAGAAGGCCUUCGGGUUGUAAAGCCCUUUUGUUGGGAAAGAAAAGCAGCAGGUUAAUACCCCGCUGUUCUGACGGUACCCAAAGAAUAAGCACCGGCUAACUUCGUG